ACGGGUGAGUAACACGUGGGUAAUCUGCCCUGCACUUCGGGAUAAGCCUGGGAAACUGGGUCUAAUACCGGAUAUUCAGAUUCUGCCGCAUGGUGGUUUCUGGAAAGUUUUUCGGUGCAGGAUGUGCCCGCGGCCUAUCAGCUUGUUGGUGGGGUAAUGGCCUACCAAGGCGACGACGGGUAGCCGGCCUGAGAGGGUGAUCGGCCACAUUGGGACUGAGACACGGCCCAGACUCCUACGGGAGGCAGCAGUGGGGAAUAUUGCACAAUGGGCGCAAGCCUGAUGCAGCGACGCCGCGUGAGGGAUGACGGUCUUCGGAUUGUAAACCUCUUUCAGUAGGGACGAAGCGAAAGUGACGGUACCUGCAGAAGAAGCACCGGCCAACUACGUGCCAGCAGCCGCGGUAAUACGUAGGGUGCGAGCGUUGUCCGGAAUUACUGGGCGUAAAGAGCUCGUAGGCGGUUUGUCACGUCGUCUGUGAAAUCCUACAGCUUAACUGUGGGCGUGCAGGCGAUACGGGCAGACUUGAGUACUACAGGGGAGACUGGAAUUCCUGGUGUAGCGGUGAAAUGCGCAGAUAUCAGGAGGAACACCGGUGGCGAAGGCGGGUCUCUGGGUAGUAACUGACGCUGAGGAGCGAAAGCAUGGGUAGCGAACAGGAUUAGAUACCCUGGUAGUCCAUGCCGUAAACGGUGGGCGCUAGGUGUGGGUUUCCUUCCACGGGAUCCGUGCCGCAGCUAACGCAUUAAGCGCCCCGCCUGGG
RNAcentral lists this ribosomal RNA (763 nucleotides) under Dietzia sp. 40. Its description in RNAcentral is "bacterial SSU rRNA". It matches the Rfam family "Bacterial small subunit ribosomal RNA", at positions 102 to 877 of the family's 1533-position model. The record is from RNAcentral. Lineage: Bacteria; Bacillati; Actinomycetota; Actinomycetes; Mycobacteriales; Dietziaceae.